This 750-nucleotide long non-coding RNA is filed under the name Vulpes vulpes (red fox). RNAcentral's name for it is "lncRNA (ENSVVUG00000007258.1)". Lineage: Eukaryota; Metazoa; Chordata; Mammalia; Carnivora; Canidae. The record is from RNAcentral.
AUGUCCUUAAACACGGCUGUCCUCCCUGUGCCAGGUCUGUGCCAAGCACAUCACAUGCCUGCUUCCCACAGCCACUUUCCUGCGGUCCAAGGUCGCAGACCGAGGUGGGGCUCCAACUCCAGCGACCACGCCCGCGCACGAGGAGCAGCGCCCCCUAGGGAGCCGAGGGAUGGCCGCGGGAGGCCCCAGGGCCGGCAGUCGGCGCCGGGUGUCAGCAGCCAGGGCACCCGCUGCCGGCUUGCGAGCCGAGGACAGGACCCUCCUUCAUCUCUGGAUGCACUCCUGUGGGCUGACCACCUGAGGAGGAACCCAGGCUCUGGGACUCAAUGAAGAAAAGGUCAAAUUUCUGAAGAGGAAGAGGAACUAUGAGCCACAUGGAUCAAGCCAGUGGGGUUUGAACACAGCCCAGAGCAUUUCCCUUGGCUGCAUCAUGGCAGGCAGGGGACAGGAGAGGUGGGAGUAUACUGCACCCUCUGGUCAGGUGGGGGGGAUGGAGCCCCUCCCUGUUUCCUGCCUUCAGGAGGGCUUUAAAUGGGCAUGAAACCACGCCCCACCCCGCUCCAAAUUGUGUUGUCACUUGGAGCCUAAUGUUUGAUGGCAUUUGGGGUACCCCAGAACUCUGCUUGCCAUGAGGUGAUGGCUGUUAUUUAUGCCUAGGCCCUGCUCUGAUCUCAGGGAAAAUAUCUCAUCAUAAAUUGGCAUGCCAUGGCAAACAAUUAAAAGAGAAAAAUAAACCCCAGUGCAAUCUCA